RNAcentral lists this unclassified non-coding RNA (927 nucleotides) under Gymnadenia conopsea. RNAcentral describes it as "external transcribed spacer". The record is from RNAcentral. Lineage: Eukaryota; Viridiplantae; Streptophyta; Magnoliopsida; Asparagales; Orchidaceae.
GGGUUCCCAGUAGCCUGAUGUGCAAUCAAAAUCUCUUGUUGCCUCUUGGUGUUGAUAACAAUGAAGCAUGUGGUCUUUUGGCCAUCGACAGUGCGCCCCGGAAUUGCAUGUUUACUGUAGCGACUCGCCUGCUGGUGCCAGUCGUCUACAAAAGUGGAUGAUGUGCCAUCUUGGCCUCUCCACGGUCCCUGCUCGUAGAUCGCAUGGUGUGACCCCAAAAUGUCCCUCCCUAGAUUGUACGAUGCAUAUGUGAUGGUUCUUGUGCAUCGAAACUUCGCUCGUCCCAAACAUUCGUGCUUCGCGGAGCUCUUUAUUCCCGUUUAAUGCUGGAUCCUUUUGGCUGYUGCUCAUCGAUGCUUGGCAUAUGGUUGAUGUUGCGCUGUCACUGGGGCUUGCUUAUUUGGGUUGUUUUGAGACCGUUUGCGGCAUAUGAGUUGCAUUCAACAAUGCUCACUUUGAUCGGCGUACCCUCCAGUGUUGCUGAUCAUUGUUCAAAGCAUUCGUUUCAUUUUGUUGGCCACGAAUCACUUUGGAUGUGGUUGAUGUAUGUCAUGUUGCUUGCAUGUUGAUCCCGUUCACGAUAUUGGCAUUGGAUUUGAAGAAAGACUGAUCUUUGCCUCUCGUUUCAAUGCGAAAAGAGGCAAUGAUUUGGCAUUGCAGUUAUUAUGUGAUCAGCUACUGGGUGAGACGUACGUGUCCAAACAAACAUCCAGUCAGCUGUUUGCUGAUCCAUAACUGUACAUGAUGUUGUUAUAUGGGGAGGCGAACUGAAAGCAUAUCUCGGUGCGGCAUGGUCACCUUGCGAAUGUGAGUUAUUUUUGGAGGCAAUAUCGCCUCCUAAUCUCGUGCAACCAUGAUUCCUCUCUUCCUUACACUUGCUUGAUGGUGUAUGGCUKKGCUGGUUUCAUGUUGUGUUGAGGUUGUGCU